ACCCGCUGAACUUAAGCAUAUCAAUAAGCGGAGGAAAAGAAACCAACAGGGAUUGCCCUAGUAACGGCGAGUGAAGCGGCAGCAGCUCAAAUUUGAAAUCUGGCUCUUUUAGAGUCCGAGUUGUAAUUUGCAGAGGGCGCUUUGGCUUUGGCAGCGGUCCAAGUUCCUUGGAACAGGACGUCACAGAGGGUGAGAAUCCCGUACGUGGUCGCUGGCUAUUGCCGUGUAAAGCCCCUUCGACGAGUCGAGUUGUUUGGGAAUGCAGCUCUAAAUGGGAGGUACAUUUCUUCUAAAGCUAAAUAUUGGCCAGAGACCGAUAGCGCACAAGUAGAGUGAUCGAAAGAUGAAAAGCACUUUGGAAAGAGAGUCAAACAGCACGUGAAAUUGUUGAAAGGGAAGCGCUUGCAGCCAGACUUGCUUACAGUUGCUCAUCCGGGCUUUUGCCCGGUGCACUCUUCUGUAGGCAGGCCAGCAUCAGUUUGGGCGGUAGGAUAAAGGUCUCUGUCACGUACCUCUCUUCGGGGAGGCCUUAUAGGGGAGACGACAUACUACCAGCCUGGACUGAGGUCCGCGCAUCUGCUAGGAUGCUGGCGUAAUGGCUGU
Molecule: ribosomal RNA, 603 nt
Filed under: uncultured fungus
Lineage: Eukaryota; Fungi
Description: eukaryotic LSU rRNA
Rfam family: Eukaryotic large subunit ribosomal RNA
Source: RNAcentral